Molecule: non-coding RNA, 942 nt
Organism: Danio rerio (zebrafish)
Lineage: Eukaryota; Metazoa; Chordata; Actinopteri; Cypriniformes; Danionidae
Source: RefSeq, a predicted model, not a curated record
GACCUACAUUUACCAGACCUCUUCAUUUCCUCACAAAGUUGCCAUAUGGCUCUAGCAGUAUCUGUAGAAGUAUAAUAGCCAUGCAGUAUACUUUUAUAGUUUUUAUGGUGUUUUUUUGUUGUCCUUUUAGGAGCCGCGAGCUGAUGUUGCAUGCAAAAAAGAUGCAUGACGACCCUUUUUACCAAUUCUCUAUUCGUGUUGCAUAGGAAAAACAACACCAUGCUGGUUUGGAAUGACAUGGUGAGCCCUCGCCGUGGGAGACGACCCACAAUGCAACUCUUCCUACCGGGAUGAAAAGCAGGAAGUGGCUUUAGCUGGCCUCUCCCUCUGGCGGAUCAUGCAGGAACAAUGCAGAUACUCAUUUCAUGAGUUGAUAUUUGACUGAAUAUGAUAUGCGGUCCGGGGAGAGAGCUCCGAGCUCGGAAAGACACCCUAAAGCUGCCUUUCCACUGCACACGACAUUCAGACGCGGCUGUCGGAAUACACCCCCUAGUGGCAUCCACACAGAAUAUUCAGACUGUGGCUUAAUGUCCUGGGACAUCAAGUAACCGCAGGCUAAUGAGAUGGCCAAACCCCAGACGCUUGACACGGAAUUCAAUUAGACUGCACCCUCCCUGUCUUUCACACUGAGGUAAGAACUGGCGUGAGAAAAAUCCAUUGGGAAAAAAGUGCUUGUCUGAGUGUGAAAAAAGAACAAGAGCAAUGGAGAAAUAACAUCACAUUACACAUACAGCAGACAUUUUAACCUGAUCAGUCACUGAGUGGGAAAUAUUCUGUGCAACAAACCAAAGUCUGAUAUAUUUCACUGUGUUGUAAACUAAUUUGGUCAAAAGUAACGAUAUUAUGAUAUUUGGUUUUGGUGUUAUGGCACACAACAGUCUAUUCUCUCCCACCAGUUUCAUUUUAUGAGUUUAUCCAGAGUUUUCAGUGGCUCCAUGUGCA